AACGAACGCUGGCGGCAGGCUUAACACAUGCAAGUCGAACGCCCCGCAAGGGGAGUGGCAGACGGGUGAGUAACGCGUGGGAAUCUACCCAGCUCUACGGAAUAACUCAGGGAAACUUGUGCUAAUACCGUAUACGUCCGAGAGGAGAAAGAUUUAUCGGAGUUGGGUGAGCCCGCGUUGGAUUAGCUAGUUGGUAGGGUAAUGGCCUACCAGGGCGACGAUCCAUAGCUGGUCUGAGAGGAUGAUCAGCCACACUGGGACUGAGACACGGCCCAGACUCCUACGGGAGGCAGCAGUGGGGAAUAUUGGACAAUGGGCGAAAGCCUGAUCCAGCCAUGCCGCGUGAGUGAUGAAGGCCCUAGGGUUGUAAAGCUCUUUCACCGGUGAAGAUAAUGACGGUAACCGGAGAAGAAGCCCCGGCUAACUUCGUGCCAGCCGCCGCCGUAA
This 447-nucleotide ribosomal RNA is filed under the name uncultured bacterium. RNAcentral describes it as "partial 16S ribosomal RNA". It matches the Rfam family "Bacterial small subunit ribosomal RNA", at positions 29 to 523 of the family's 1533-position model. The record is from RNAcentral.